GGAGACGUGCCCGAAGCUCAGGGGUCACUUUGAUAGAGUGAACCAUGGGGGUUAGAGUCCCCCCGGCUCCU
This 71-nucleotide transfer RNA is filed under the name Mullus surmuletus (striped red mullet). RNAcentral describes it as "tRNA-Ile". Lineage: Eukaryota; Metazoa; Chordata; Actinopteri; Syngnathiformes; Mullidae. The record is from RNAcentral. RNAcentral also lists the same sequence under 1 other name.